Molecule: long non-coding RNA, 2981 nt
Organism: Zonotrichia albicollis (white-throated sparrow)
Lineage: Eukaryota; Metazoa; Chordata; Aves; Passeriformes; Passerellidae
Source: RefSeq, a predicted model, not a curated record
AGCAAAGAAGCUAAAAAGCAACACUAAGGAACACCUUGGGUCUGUUUUACUCUUUCUUAAGACAGAAGGAAGGACAGAUGUAACUGUGAAAGGAGAUAAGAUGACACCAAACUGCCCAGGAGAAAAUUAAGCAGCAAAUCCAGUAUCACUCUGAGGCCAGCACUAAGCAAACCCAAGGAAAACACAUGACAGGAAUGAGAUGCUGCUGUGUCCCUGCCCUGCUGCUGUUUGCUGCCAGGCUCAGGUGCUAAAUCAGUUGCCUGGGAAACGUCAGAGCAGCGCAGGAGAUGGACAAAACAGCAAAACCUUGAACAGGGAGGGCUGACACGGGAGAAAAAUGAGUUUGCUCCUCAGAAAUGUGCAGAGACUCCAAUGCAGAGCUGGCUCUGCCUCUCUCCUCUCUCCCAGGUUCAAGUGUGCAGCUGCUGUCACUCAGAGCUACCUCUGCUGAAUAAUGUGAUCCUGCUCUCAUCCCUGCGAGGACACCAGUGCCAAGAAACCUAAGGUGUCCUGAUCAAUGCAGAAAAACAAGACCUGGCAGUUCUGCUCCUCCAGGAACAAAUUCCUUUAAAACUCAAGCCAUCAGAAGUGGAGCUUCCAUGAGGCCCAGGUAUCUCAUCCUGUGAGCACGUGGGAAGGAGGAGGAAGGCACAUGUCCCUACCUAACCCCCUGCCCCAGAGCAGGAAUGGGUGUAGCAGCCCUGCUGAGUCUCUGAGCUCACCCCAGCCGUGCUGAGCCCGUGGCUGUCAGUGAGCAGAGCAGCAGCAUCACAGGAUCUGCUGGAUGAUGACUGUUCCAAAAAUCAGGAUUCUUGGAUUGAUUCUGCAAGACUCCACACAGGCCAGUUGUGACCCAGAAAAAGAGAAAUUACUAAAGCCAAGCUUUGAAAAGUGCUUGACUUGAGGCCCAUGGCUCAUCCCACUCUAAUCAUGUCCUGCUGCUCAGCACUGCAGAGAGUCCAUCUCUUAUUAAGGUCCUUAAAGACAAAAAAAAGGAUUUAUUUCAGCAAUUGUGAGGGUCCUCUCUGGCGCUACUCCUCAGGAGGAAAACAACUACCUGGGCAAGGAGAACUCUUGCUCCUCUUGCACUAAGUGCAGAGCCUGCAGGUUUUUCCCUGGGGAGUGGGGCUGAUGGAUGGGGUCCCUGUCCUGUCACAGAAAAUCCACACAGGGACACUGUCCCCUGUCCCUGUGAGAGACACAUGAGGGAACAUCCCAAGCUUCAAGAUUCACCCCCAAGUUCCAAGAGCUGCAGCACACAUGGUGUGAAGCUCAUGGCCAACAAGCUCCGUAUCCUCCCAGAGCAAUGAGAGGUGGGCAAGCUCAGUGAGAAAAUCCAUGAGGCAUGAAUAUGAAAAUACAGAGCCGGAACUGCUAACAUCCAUGAGAGAUUGUCAUGAAUUCUCUGAAUAAUUUGGCUGAGCAAACUCCCUGAUAUUCAUGUCUUGCAUGCUGCUGGAGUCCAUUGCUCUCCCAAGGCUUUAUGGGAACACCAUUUGUCCUGCAGUAAUAGGGCAGAAAAGCUGGAGCUAAGAAUUUCACUUGCUCAAAUAAACAGGAACACAAAGGAAAGGAGCUGUGGUUGAAGUUCUGCUUCUCUUCCAUUCCCUCACCUCCAUGAGAUUCAGUUUUGCCCUUCCACAGUAUUUUCCAAAGAUGAUCAACACAGUUCUCUCUGGUGCAUGCAGCACAUUUCCCUUUUGCCCCAACCAAAGAAAAGAUCUACUUCAUACUCUGAAUCAUUUUCAAGAUGGUAUCCCAGCAACAAGCAUCCAGCAGUGUGUAUGUAAAACUGGCUCUACUUAGAUAAAUAGCAGAAAAGACUGCAGUUUCUUUCAAAGACCCAAAUGACAUUUAAAUUUUCCUUUCAGAGACACGUAGUAAACGGAAGGAAUAAAUCAGCUGAUUCAGAAAGCAGCGCCUCAGAGAUUUUUUUUGCACACUUUGUCUUGUUUGCUAUCAAUUAAAUGGAAACUCAUCUUUAAAACCUUUCUCUCCACAUUUCUAACCUCACAAUAUUACUUCAGAUAAGAUUAUUACAGUAUUUUAUACCUAUUUUGCUGACAUUCCUAGGAAUUUUAUUUAAGCCUAUGAAGGAAGGUCUCACUGAAGGGGUGUUUGAAGGUUGGCUGGGAAAGAUUUUGCUCCUCUGUUUUGGAGCUGCAGGAAGGGGCUCUGUUAAACCACUGGGGGAGCAAAUAUCAAGGAAACCUCUCAGCACAGAGCUUUGUAUGAGUCAGGGGAUCAGGAGAUGCAGGCUGUCUCUGCUACAGAAGGGUUGUGCCCCACCUCUUGGACCCCUAAGGAAGGGAUUAUCCUGCAGGAAGCUUUCCUGGGAUUAAAACCCAGUUUGAGCAGGGAGGUGGGAGCACAUGUCCCACUGUGGUUGCUCCCAGCCUCACCCAAUCUGUGACUCCAGAGUUAACUGGAAUCACCUGCUCAAGGUCAUUCCAUGGAAAAAAGCCUUCUUGAGGGCCAGGUGCCACCCUGGAAAUGCUCUGGGUUGAGGAGAGCUCCUGGAUGAGCAGGAUGCAAUGGCUGCAUCCCUGCAGCGUUAGCAGCUCCCACAGCACAUUUCCUUCAUGCACCUUUUGGAUAAGGCAGGAGGGUUUAGCCUGUCACUUAUCUCCAGCUACAGAUCACACCUCAGGCUAACACUGAAAUUGUGCAAAGGUCACCUAUCCCUAAAAUGCCCUCACAGGAUUCCUCUAGGACAGCUUGCACAAACUCUGCCCUUCCUUUGAAUCCUUUCAGGCUUCUUCUAGUGCCCCUGAUCCUAAACAACUCCAACCCAAAAGCACUCAGAGGGGUCUCAGGGACCUCAGGGUGGGAAAGCCAGAGCUGCUGCUGAGGAGCCGUCCAGAGCAAAGGCAGCACAGAGGAGAGGACACAGCAGCCAAGCCCAGCCAAGCUGGUAGGAUGUCAGGGGACAGGACGGUCAGGAUGGAUGGAGAUGAGAGAUCUCCGAGGCCAGAUCAGGA